RNAcentral lists this transfer RNA (62 nucleotides) under Lepidocyrtus fimetarius. RNAcentral describes it as "tRNA-Gly". Lineage: Eukaryota; Metazoa; Arthropoda; Collembola; Entomobryomorpha; Entomobryidae. The record is from RNAcentral.
ACAAUUUUAUUAUAAAAAGUAAAUUUAAUUUCCAAUUAAAAAGUCCUGGCAAGGAAAUUGUA